Molecule: long non-coding RNA, 1452 nt
Organism: Aegilops tauschii subsp. strangulata
Lineage: Eukaryota; Viridiplantae; Streptophyta; Magnoliopsida; Poales; Poaceae
Source: RefSeq, a predicted model, not a curated record
CACUCGCGUUAACCCUAUCCACUCUGCCCCUGCCCCCAACUUCCGCCGCCGCCGUUCUCGGGGUCUCCAUCCUCGGACUCGUCCCUGCCGCCACCCGCGGCCAUAGCCCCGAGCUCCCGGCCCCCUCCAUCGCAUGCCUUCCCUGCCCCCUUCUUUGCCACCACAUGGGCAUCUUUGUUGGCCCGAGUCCCCACCGACGGCGGUGAGCAUAACCCAGAUCCCUAACCCCAUCGAUGCAUGCCUUCCCCAGUGACGCGGUCACCGACAGCCGCGUCCGCCGGGGCCUUCACCGACCACCGCUAGCCCUCACGAAGGACCAAGACAACGCCCUCCUCUUCCUCCUCUCAGGGAAAGACCCCUCCUCUUCUUCCUGUCAGGAAGGACCAAGACAGCGCCCUCCUCUUCCUCCUCUCAGGGAAAGAUCCCGUAUGUGCUUGUGCUAGAGGCAUGCCGCUGGCACCGCUGGGCCCUUAUUUAUCUUAUACAAGCCAUUUGAGGAUAUGACGUGAUGAGCUGUUUUUCACUCAACGCGUGGCGAGUCCACUUGGAACUGAAUAGGCACUGGUUUUUCUUCUUACUCUCCAUGAGCCCCUUAUACUACUGCUAUGGUUUAUGUGCCUACUUUUAACUCUCUCAACUAAAAUUGGGCUGCUUUGUUUCAGCUGAUCUGAUAGUGUGGGUGGGAUCUACAGAACAACCUUGAGAUGUGUCUGCGACCAGUCCACAUUCUGCACAACUCCCACAACUUGAAGACCAAGAUCUUUGCCAUUUAAAUGGUUGAGAGAAUAAAGUGGAUGGAUGACCAAUCCGAGAAGGGCAUUGAACAAAGUGUAGGUAUCAUGGUCAAUUAUCUGUAAAGUAGGGAACCAUGACCACCAGCAUGCAGCGCAGGCAAUGGGCGGAGAACAGAUGGCUACCUCUCUGGGAACCAUGGUCACCCACAUGCAGCGGAUAACGAAUGGUGGAUGGAAGGCUACCUCACCAGGAACCAGGUCCACGACUUAUUGUGGGCAAUCGGUGGCGAACGGAGGGCUACUUUGCCGGGUACCUCAACUACUAGGCACUUAGCCAACUGGUGCACAUGGACGUGAUGACUUUGCAGCGUUUAUGGACCAACCAACUUGUAAUCAUGGAUCUUAUUUGUCUUCUAGACCAUUUGGUGAUUUGGUUAUUUUGGAGCUUGCAUUGUGUGCAUCUGGAUACAGACUUGUGUGUUCUGGAUCAUCUAGUUGAAGUUUCUCAUACCAGCAAAUAGUGCUAUCUUUUUGUGACUUGUGUGUUCUGGGUGAUUGUUAAGAUGGUAAAAAACUAUGCUUUGUCAAGAUUGAUGUGUUUGUCAACUUGUGUUCAAUGUAUAUGCACGUUUGUGAAUAUAUUUCAUUAUUGUACAAUGUGUUCAUCUUGAACCUGCUUCUAGAUGUGCGGAUAAUAAUUGAAUCCGUUUAGAGCUUA